GAGCGCGUAGCUCAGCCGGUAGAGCACGUGACUUUUAAUCACGGGGUCCUGGGUUCGAGCCCCAGCGCGCUCACCA
Molecule: transfer RNA, 76 nt
Filed under: Pseudomonas fluorescens
Lineage: Bacteria; Pseudomonadati; Pseudomonadota; Gammaproteobacteria; Pseudomonadales; Pseudomonadaceae
Also listed under: 490 other names
Description: tRNA-Lys
Rfam family: tRNA
About the family: Transfer RNA (tRNA) molecules are approximately 80 nucleotides in length. Their secondary structure includes four short double-helical elements and three loops (D, anti-codon, and T loops). Further hydrogen bonds mediate the characteristic L-shaped molecular structure. tRNAs have two regions of fundamental functional importance: the anti-codon, which is responsible for specific mRNA codon recognition, and the 3' end, to which the tRNAs corresponding amino acid is attached (by aminoacyl-tRNA synthetases). tRNAs cope with the degeneracy of the genetic code in two manners: having more than one tRNA (with a specific anti-codon) for a particular amino acid; and 'wobble' base-pairing, i.e. permitting non-standard base-pairing at the 3rd anti-codon position.
Source: RNAcentral